GGUGGAUUCGAAUCUCGAAUCGUAUUCCAAUCGAUUCCCUCAAAGAACGGAUGCAACUGGAAAUCACUGAGACCAUUUCGUCCGAAUCGAACAUCACUCGAACAGAUAAGUUGUCGUAUAAGAUCCUUUGCCUCUUCCGACACAACCCAAUCGAUUUCAUCAUCGGGGAAGUCGAGCAUGUCUUGAUGGCUCAUAAUUUUACCGUGAAAUAUAAUCAGGUGUUCCUACAGCAACAUUCGACGCAACAGAUCCAUCGGCUAAGAUCCUCAGACAACUUCCGAAAUCAGCGAGCCGAAUGUGUCCUUGCAUAUCGAGAAGCACAUUGUCAGGCUUCACGUCCCGAUGCACAUAUCCUAACCGAUGAAGUGAAUCAAUCGCAAGAACCAUUUCAGCAAUGUAGAAUUUGGCCAUUGA
Non-coding RNA from Caenorhabditis elegans, 414 nucleotides. Ensembl annotates it as ncRNA. Its record names the gene F31F7.9. The record is from Ensembl. NCBI's taxonomy places the organism in Eukaryota, Metazoa, Nematoda, Chromadorea, Rhabditida, Rhabditidae.